UAGUAGGUGGGGUAACGGCUCACCUAGGCGACGAUCCCUAGCUGGUCUGAGAGGAUGACCAGCCACACUGGAACUGAGACACGGUCCAGACUCCUACGGGAGGCAGCAGUGGGGAAUAUUGCACAAUGGGCGCAAGCCUGAUGCAGCCAUGCCGCGUGUAUGAAGAAGGCCUUCGGGUUGUAAAGUACUUUCAGCGGGGAGGAAGGGAGUAAAGUUAAUACCUUUGCUCAUUGACGUUACCCGCAGAAGAAGCACCGGCUAACUCCGUGCCAGCAGCCGCGGUAAUACGGAGGGUGCAAGCGUUAAUCGGAAUUACUGGGCGUAAAGCGCACGCAGGCGGUUUGUUAAGUCAGAUGUGAAAUCCCCGGGCUCAACCUGGGAACUGCAUCUGAUACUGGCAAGCUUGAGUCUCGUAGAGGGGGGUAGAAUUCCAAGUGUAGCAGUGAAAUGCGUAGAGAUUUGGAGGAAUACCGAUGGCGAAGGCAGCCCCCUGGGAUAACACUGACGCUCAGGCACGAAAGCGUGGGUAGCAAACAGGAUUAGAUACCCUGGUAGUCCACACCGUAAACGAUGUUUACUU
This 580-nucleotide ribosomal RNA is filed under the name uncultured bacterium. Its description in RNAcentral is "bacterial SSU rRNA". It matches the Rfam family "Bacterial small subunit ribosomal RNA", at positions 246 to 818 of the family's 1533-position model. The record is from RNAcentral.